Long non-coding RNA from Dromaius novaehollandiae (emu), 1125 nucleotides. RefSeq lists it as uncharacterized. Lineage: Eukaryota; Metazoa; Chordata; Aves; Casuariiformes; Dromaiidae. The record is from RefSeq and is a predicted model, not a curated record. The transcript has 4 exons.
CGGUGCAGGCGAGCGAGGCCCCGGGCGCUCCCGACGGGGCGCCCCGCGGAGCCGCCCCCGACGUUCGCAGAGCCGGGGGGGGGGGGGGAGCGCCUCUCCUUUCACACACCCAGAAAAAACAAAACGCUUAGCAACCAACGUGGCAAGCACCAAAAAAGCACCUGCUUUCAUUCCAAAACCCAUCAUUUCCGAGUCUCUCUCCAGCCAAGGACACUCCGAGGAGCUCCGCGCACCAGCGGGCAGACGAGCAGCUCCGGUGUUUUAUUACACCGCACGUAAAGAGCAAGAUUUCUAGAGCUAGGUCUAAUGCAUUCACCACGCUUGCGUGCCCCGGGUCACCUAAAGAAAUAUGCGCUCCCGGGUGCCAGACAGAGGCCCUGUUAAAUAAAGGCUGGCACCAAACUUCACAGUCCUCGCUUGCGACGCCAAUUUAUAUCCCUCGCUACCGACUCCUGGAGCCAGCGGGGACGAGGAGCGGAGGCAGAAGCGCCUCCCCGGCUCGCAGAGCUCAGUCGGAAAAUGAAGCACAACAUAAAGAACAGAGCGACACAGCGCCAAAAGAUUUUAUCAGACAAGUCACAACAACCUUAAUAACCCCUUAGCGCUUCCUGGCAGGAAACAGCUCACCUUUCGCAGGAGGAAGCCGCAGCCGUUUACCGAGUAUUCCUGACCCAUAAUCUCUGCAAAUGACAUCACGAUUAGUCGCCAUGGAGACGCCUGGUGCAACAGCAGCACGUCUCAGAGAGAGAGAGAGAGAGAGAGAAGAGAGGAGAAAAGGCACCAGAACCUGUUUUCCAUCAGUCCUUGUAUGCUGCACUGUCUCUGUGUCUUUCGGGUCUCCGUCACCUCGAACCAGACCAGUGGAGACCGGUCUGGCACUUAUCAGUGCUGGUGCAUCCUAAGAAUGAAGGAAAACAAAGCUAUGAGACCAGUGUGAGCACCCUGGGCAACGCGAGUGCCGGCUGUUGUGGGUACUCAUUACAAGUUUAAGAUACGAAAUGUCAAUAAUAAGCAUCCAAAGGUCAUCCUGUGCCCCUUUAUCACAGAUGGAAAUGGUAUGUACAUGCCUGACACACCGGUAUAGCUGUAUGCUUGUAUGCUGAGUAAAUAUCCACUCUAAGUUCA